Eriocheir sinensis (Chinese mitten crab) is the source of this 2160-nucleotide RNA transcript. RefSeq lists it as uncharacterized. The record is from RefSeq and is a predicted model, not a curated record. NCBI's taxonomy places the organism in Eukaryota, Metazoa, Arthropoda, Malacostraca, Decapoda, Varunidae. The transcript has 4 exons.
AAUCAUACGCUGUGCAGCAGGCUCGGGCAAAGGAGGGUACGGCCGAGGAGUGACGAGAGAAAGAGAGGAACACGCCCCCUUACAGGAUUGACCUACUACCCUCUUCUACCACCGGUGACACUAAGAUGCGCGUGUGCCUGGUAAUAGUGGUGGCGGUGGCGGUGGCCGUGUCGGAGGCGCAGAACAUCAGGCCGCCGGGUCAGCGUCCUCCUAUCCGCAUCCCUAGCCGCGUGGAGAUGACUGUGGCAGUGAACAACCCGGAGACGGUGAAGAAGGCGCUGGCGUGCAUCGAGGGGCUCCCGUGCAAGCUGGACGACGACUAUGCGGUCAUGUUGAGACGCUUUGGUCCCGAGGUGAUGAUGAGGGGCCACUGUCCCCUGAAUCUGUGCACGCAGGAAGAGGCCCGCGAGGCGAAGUGGCUUAUGUCCAAGAUCUACGAAAAGUACCCAAAGCGUUACCUCGGCACCGUCAACAGGCUGGCUAUCCGCGCCAAUCCCUACAACGGUUAACCCGCUCACACGCUCCUCUCAGCCUGACCCCUGCGACCCCCUUGCAUGGCUCUCCUUCCUAGGCUAUUCGUGAUGAUACAAGACCCCCAGAUAGAGAGGUUCUUCUUUUAGCUUCCCUUAAUACAUCUAUAGACCCAUACAUGUAGACAUUGACACGCUUCCCUCCUAUCUUGGUUACUCGUAAUACACAUACAAGACCCCAAGAUAGAGAGGUUCUUCUUUUAGCUUCCCUUAAUACAUCUAUAGACCCAUACAUGUAGAGACAUUGACACGCUUCCCUCCUAUCUUGGUUACUCGUAAUACACAUACAAGACCCCAAGAUAGAGAGGUUCUUCCUUCACCUUCUCUUCUUACGUCUAAAGAUUCUUACAAACACAAACACGUUGACUUUUACAAUGCUCACCUCUCCGUCAAGGCUUUCAACUAUAGUGUCUUCUUUGUGAUCUCCAUCCUUGUUAAAAGAAGCUCUAUAAUAUGCUCCCUAUCUUGACUUCUCCUGAUAGUAAGAAGCUCUACUCUAUUUUCUUUCGGUCUAUAUCCAUGCAAAAAAGAAGCUCUACUCUAUCAAGCCUCUCCAUGAUAGUGUCUUCUUUUUUAUCUCCAGCCUUGCAAACAGAAGCUCCACUCCCUACUCUGGCUUCUUGUGAUAACUCUUGGUCAUCUCAUCCUUGCGGUUCAGUACACGCAGCUCCGGCCAGUUCAACCCACACACACACCCGUCUCCUGCAUUUAGCUUCCCCAUCACCCACCCUGGAGGCUAUACCCGUGACGAUACAGACCUAGGCACACUAAAGGGGCUAUUACACUAGGCAAAUCUUCUGUGGAUCUUCAGUCAAACCACGAUUUCCGCUAGCGUGGUUCUCCUUUGUUUCUUGUUAUUGCUGAUGAUGAUGAUGGUGACUAAUACCAUCGUCCUUCAGUGAAAUCUACCGUAGCUUUGGAAGAUCGUGGACACGUCAGAAAACCACGGAAAUAGGAGAACCACGCUAUCGGAAAUCGUGGUUUGACUGAAGAUCCACGGAAAAUUUGCCCAGUGUAAUAUAGCCCCGUAAGAUACUGAGAGAGUCUUUUGCUACUUUCUCUCUCUUUCCUUGUGGUUUGGGAAUCGUGGCUCAUUCUGGCUCCUAUGUGGCUCUCCGUGUCUUUCAAUCCCACUCGUUGGUUAUAUAACAUCUCAACACGUAGGAUAAUAUAGAGGGUUAAUGGGUAUGUGGCUCCUGUACGGUUCUUUGUGUCUUUCUACUCCAGUCGGUUAUGUAUUUUGGCCCGUCCCUCUCUUCUAAUGGUGUGGGAUUCGGGACUCAAUCGUGGUUCUUAUGGCUCCCCCCCUUCCUCCUAUCCCACCGGCUAUAUUCCUUCAUGUGAUGUGUCGUGAAAAUGUCUCAAAAAUGAUGAUGUUUGAUGGUUCCUUAUAUUCCGUUCAUAUACCUAACUCCUAUGGCCUCAGCCCCUCCCACCUCCCUCCUCCUUUUUUUUUACUGGGAUUUUGUUAUACCUUUUUGUUAUAAGAUCUCAAUACACGUGUACUGUGUUUGUGGUGUUUGUUUGUACUGGCAUUGUCUCAGUUUUUGUUUCAUUAUCGCAUUAUUUCUCCUGUGGUUAACUUUUCUUGUUUUGUACUGAAAGAGGACUAAAAAGACAUAGAAAGACG